Molecule: ribosomal RNA, 471 nt
Filed under: uncultured bacterium
Lineage: Bacteria
Description: bacterial SSU rRNA
Rfam family: Bacterial small subunit ribosomal RNA
Source: RNAcentral
GAUGAACGCUGGCGGCGUGCCUAAUACAUGCAAGUCGAACGGUCUACGCAAGUAGAUAGUGGCGAACGGGUGAGUAACGCGUUGGUGACCUGCCCCUUAGAGAGGGAUAACAGCUCGAAAGAGCUGCUAAUACCGCAUAAGAUCUCGAGGAUUAGAAGCUUGAGAUGAAAGCCGAAAGGCACUGAGGGAGGGACCUGCGUCCCAUCAGCUAGUUGGUGAGGUAACGGCCCACCAAGGCGAUGACGGGUAGGGGACCUGAGAGGGUGGCCCCCCACAAUGGAACUGAAACACGGUCCAUACACCUACGGGUGGCAGCAGUAGGGAAUAUUGGGAAUGGGCGAAAGCCUGACCCAGCAACGCCGCGUGAGUGAUGAAGGCCUUCGGGUUGUAAACUCUUUUACCGGGUACGAGAGAGGACGGUACCGGAAGAAUAAGACCUCGGCUAACUAACGUGCCAGCAGCCGCGGUAAU